ACUCUUUAUGAUGACAAACAUCUAAACAUUACUUAUUUCUGGUACCUCUUAUGCCAGAAGAGCCUGCUUUAUCGCGGGUUCCUUCGAUGAUCUAAAUGGACUUCUGAUC
This 109-nucleotide small nucleolar RNA is filed under the name Exophiala dermatitidis NIH/UT8656. Its description in RNAcentral is "A. fumigatus snoRNA Afu_264". It matches the Rfam family "A. fumigatus snoRNA Afu_264". Lineage: Eukaryota; Fungi; Ascomycota; Eurotiomycetes; Chaetothyriales; Herpotrichiellaceae. The record is from Rfam by way of RNAcentral.